Molecule: transfer RNA, 70 nt
Filed under: Formosania lacustris
Lineage: Eukaryota; Metazoa; Chordata; Actinopteri; Cypriniformes; Gastromyzontidae
Description: tRNA-His
Rfam family: tRNA
About the family: Transfer RNA (tRNA) molecules are approximately 80 nucleotides in length.
Source: RNAcentral
GUAAGCAUAGUUUAAUUUAAAACAUUAGAUUGUGAUUCUAAAAAUGGAGGUUAAAAUCCUCCUACUCACC